UCACUUUCAAAUGUACUUUGACAUUCGGUUGCGGACUGUCUCUAUCAACUUGUCUUUUCUUCUAUCUGACUUUAACUAAUUGGAGACUCGUACCUUUUCUCUAGAGACCAGAAGACAGUUAAAAUUUCACUUUUACAUUGUUAUUUUUUGGACUGCAAAUGUUAAUUUAUCUUUAGUCAACCUUAACUGAAAAGUGCUGGAGGAAAGGAAACCUGAUUAGACUGGCUAAUGUUGUCAAGAAACAAUGAUCACUAUUGUAUUGCUGUCAU
This is a long non-coding RNA of Vollenhovia emeryi, 269 nucleotides long. RefSeq lists it as uncharacterized. The transcript is spliced from 3 exons. Lineage: Eukaryota; Metazoa; Arthropoda; Insecta; Hymenoptera; Formicidae. The record is from RefSeq and is a predicted model, not a curated record.